This 1074-nucleotide ribosomal RNA is filed under the name Enterobacter sp. RNAcentral describes it as "bacterial SSU rRNA". It matches the Rfam family "Bacterial small subunit ribosomal RNA", at positions 393 to 1453 of the family's 1533-position model. The record is from RNAcentral. Lineage: Bacteria; Pseudomonadati; Pseudomonadota; Gammaproteobacteria; Enterobacterales; Enterobacteriaceae.
AUUCUGGGGUGUAUAAAGAAGGCCUUCGGGGUUGUAAAGUACUUUCCAGCGGGGAGGAAAGGUGUUGUGGUUAUAACCACAGCAAUGGACGUUACCCGCAGAAAGAAGCACCGGCUAACUCCGUGCCCAGCAGCCCGCGGUAAUACGGGAGGGUGCAAGCGUUAAUCGGAAUUACUGGGCGUUAAAGCGCACGCAGGCGGUCUGUCAAGUCGGAUGUGAAAUCCCCCGGGCUCAACCUGGGAACUGCAUUCGAAACUGGCAGGCUAGAGUCUUGUAGAGGGGGUAGAAUUCCAGGUGUAGCGGUGAAAUGCGUAGAGAUCUGGAGGAAUACCGGUGGCGAAGGCGGCCCCCUGGACAAAGACUGACGCUCAGGUGCGAAAGCGUGGGGAGCAAACAGGAUUAGAUACCCUGGUAGUCCACGCCGUAAACGAUGUCGACUUGGAGGUUGUGCCCUUGAGGCGUGGCUUCCGGAGCUAACGCGUUAAGUCGACCGCCUGGGGAGUACGGCCGCAAGGUUAAAACUCAAAUGAAUUGACGGGGGCCCGCACAAGCGGUGGAGCAUGUGGUUUAAUUCGAUGCAACGCGAAGAACCUUACCUACUCUUGACAUCCAGAGAACUUUCCAGAGAUGGAUUGGUGCCUUCGGGAACUCUGAGACAGGUGCUGCAUGGCUGUCGUCAGCUCGUGUUGUGAAAUGUUGGGUUAAGUCCCGCAACGAGCGCAACCCUUAUCCUUUGUUGCCAGCGGUUAGGCCGGGAACUCAAAGGAGACUGCCAGUGAUAAACUGGAGGAAGGUGGGGAUGACGUCAAGUCAUCAUGGCCCUUACGAGUAGGGCUACACACGUGCUACAAUGGCGCAUACAAAGAGAAGCGACCUCGCGAGAGCAAGCGGACCUCAUAAAGUGCGUCGUAGUCCGGAUUGGAGUCUGCAACUCGACUCCAUGAAGUCGGAAUCGCUAGUAAUCGUAGAUCAGAAUGCUACGGUGAAUACGUUCCCGGGCCUUGUACACACCGCCCGUCACACCAUGGGAGUGGGUUGCAAAAGAAGUAGGUAGCUUAACCUUCGGGAGGGCGC